RNAcentral lists this ribosomal RNA (397 nucleotides) under uncultured bacterium. Its description in RNAcentral is "bacterial SSU rRNA". It matches the Rfam family "Bacterial small subunit ribosomal RNA", at positions 29 to 429 of the family's 1533-position model. The record is from RNAcentral.
AUUAAACGCUGGCGGCAUGCCUUACACAUGCAAGUCGAACGGCAGCACGGGGGCAACUCUGGUGGCGAGUGGCGAACGGGUGAGUAAAGCAUCGGAACGUGCCCUGGAGUGGGGGAUAACGUAGCGAAAGUUACGCUAAUACCGCAUAUUCUGUGAGCAGGAAAGCAGGGGAUCGCAAGACCUUGCGCUCUGGGAGCGGCCGAUGUCGGAUUAGCUAGUUGGUGGGGUAAAGGCCUACCAAGGCGACGAUCCGUAGCGGGUCUGAGAGGAUGAUCCGCCACACUGGGACUGAGACACGGCCCAGACUCCUACGGGAGGCAGCAGUGGGGAAUUUUGGACAAUGGGCGAAAGCCUGAUCCAGCCAUGCCGCGUGAGUGAAGAAGGCCUCGGUUGUAAG